GCCUUAACAUGCAGUCGAACGGCAGCACGGGAGCUUGCUCCUGGUGGCGAGUGGCGAACGGGUGAGUAAUGCAUCGGAACGUGCCCUGAAGUGGGGGAUAACGCAGCGAAAGUUGCGCUAAUACCGCAUAUUCUGUGAGCAGGAAAGCAGGGGAUCGCAAGACCUUGCGCUUUAGGAGCGGCCGAUGUCGGAUUAGCUAGUUGGUGGGGUAAAGGCUCACCAAGGCGACGAUCCGUAGCGGGUCUGAGAGGAUGAUCCGCCACACUGGGACUGAGACACGGCCCAGACUCCUACGGGAGGCAGCAGUGGGGAAUUUUGGACAAUGGGCGCAAGCCUGAUCCAGCCAUGCCGCGUGAGUGAAGAAGGCCUUCGGGUUGUAAAGCUCUUUCGGCGGGGAAGAAAUCGCAUUCUCUAAUACAGGAUGUGGAUGACGGUACCCGAAUAAGAAGCACCGGCUAACUACGUGCCAGCAGCCGCGGUAAUACGUAGGGUGCGAGCGUUAAUCGGAAUUACUGGGCGUAAAGCGUGCGCAGGCGGUUUCGUAAGACAGACGUGAAAUCCCCGGGCUCGACCUGGGAACUGCGUUUGUGACUGCGAGGCUAGAGUUUGGCAGAGGGGGGUGGAAUUCCACGUGUAGCAGUGAAAUGCGUAGAGAUGUGGAGGAACACCGAUGGCGAAGGCAGCCCCCUGGGCCAAUACUGACGCUCAUGCACGAAAGCGUGGGGAGCAAACAGGAUUAGAUACCCUGGUAGUCCACGCCCUAAACGAUGUCAACUAGGUGUUGGGAGGGUUAAACCUCUUAGUGCCGUAGCUAACGCGUGAAGUUGACCGCCUGGGGAGUACGGCCGCAAGGCUAAAACUCAAAGGAAUUGACGGGACCCGCACAAGCGGUGGAUGAUGUGGAUUAAUUCGAUGCAACGCGAAAACCUUACCUACCCUUGACAUGUCAGAAUCCCGGGAGAGAUUUGGGAGUGCCCGAAAGGGAGCCUGACCACAGGUGCUGCAUGGCUGUCGUCAGCUCGUGUCGUGAGAUG
RNAcentral lists this ribosomal RNA (1034 nucleotides) under uncultured Propionivibrio sp. RNAcentral describes it as "bacterial SSU rRNA". It matches the Rfam family "Bacterial small subunit ribosomal RNA", at positions 46 to 1074 of the family's 1533-position model. The record is from RNAcentral. Lineage: Bacteria; Pseudomonadati; Pseudomonadota; Betaproteobacteria; Rhodocyclales; Rhodocyclaceae.